GGGCUAGUACUGGUUUCGACAGGGGUUUUGAAGUUGGAGAAGCUAUCCGUAGAUGAUGCGUUAAAUCAUACAAUUAAAAUUAAACGCUGAAGAUAAUUUAGCUUACGCUGCCUAAUUAAUGGCAGCUGUCAAUACAAGGUUGCCUGCGGCCCUGAUAUUGGCAUCGACUUUAGCAGGAAACUCUGAUUGCUAAGCUUUGCGCUUUCAGUGAUUUUAUGAAGCUACCAAGAGCAAAACGGUGUUAGUUCCGGUUUGUUUAAGGGAAUGUUAAAUAACUGACUAUGAUAGAAGAAGUACAAUGGAGAGGCUUUUGGACACGGGUUCAACUCCCGUCUAGUCCACUA
Non-coding RNA from Eubacterium sp. CAG:156, 344 nucleotides. It matches the Rfam family "transfer-messenger RNA". From Rfam's summary of the family: Bacterial tmRNA, also known as 10Sa RNA or SsrA, is named for its dual tRNA and mRNA-like properties. NCBI's taxonomy places the organism in Bacteria, Bacillati, Bacillota, Clostridia, Eubacteriales, Eubacteriaceae. The record is from Rfam.